This 495-nucleotide ribosomal RNA is filed under the name uncultured bacterium. Its description in RNAcentral is "partial 16S ribosomal RNA". It matches the Rfam family "Bacterial small subunit ribosomal RNA", at positions 30 to 507 of the family's 1533-position model. The record is from RNAcentral.
UGAACGCUGGCGGCGUGCCUAAUACAUGCAAGUCGAGCGAACAGACGAGGAGCUUGCUCCUCUGACGUUAGCGGCGGACGGGUGAGUAACACGUGGAUAACCUACCUAUAAGACUGGGAUAACUUCGGGAAACCGGAGCUAAUACCGGAUAAUAUAUUGAACCGCAUGGUUCAAUAGUGAAAGACGGUUUUGCUGUCACUUAUAGAUGGAUCCGCGCCGCAUUAGCUAGUUGGUAAAGUAACGGCUUACCAAGGCAACGAUGCGUAGCCGACCUGAGAGGGUGAUCGGCCACACUGGAACUGAGACACGGUCCAGACUCCUACGGGAGGCAGCAGUAGGGAAUCUUCCGCAAUGGGCGAAAGCUUGACGGAGCAACGCCGCGUGAGUGAUGAAGGUCUUCGGAUCGUAAAACUCUGUUAUUAGGGAAGAACAAAUGUGUAAGUAACUAUGCACGUCUUGACGGUACCUAAUCAGAAAGCCACGGCUAACUACGUG